GAGUUUGAUCCUGGCUCAGGAUGAACGCUAGCGGCAGGCUUAAUACAUGCAAGUCGUGGGGCAGCAGGGCUGUAGCAAUACAGUUGCUGGCGACCGGCAAACGGGUGCGGAACACGUACACAACCUUCCUUCGAGUGGGGGAUAGCCCGGGGAAACCCGGAUUAAUACCCCGUAACAUAUUGGAGUGGCAUCACUCUAUUAUUAUAGCUUUAUUGCGCUUGAAGAUGGGUGUGCGGCUGAUUAGGUAGUUGGCGGGGUAAUGGCCCACCAAGCCUACGAUCAGUAACUGGUGUGAGAGCACGACCAGUCACACGGGCACUGAGACACGGGCCCGACUCCUACGGGAGGCAGCAGUAAGGAAUAUUGGUCAAUGGACGAAAGUCUGAACCAGCCAUGCCGCGUGGAGGAUGAAGGUCCUCUGGAUUGUAAACUUCUUUUAUCUGGGAAGAAACCCAUGGAUUCUUCUGUGGUUGACGGUACCAGAUGAAUAAGCACCGGCUAACUCCGUGCCAGCAGCCGCGGUAAUACGGAGGGUGCAAGCGUUAUCCGGAUUCACUGGGUUUAAAGGGUGCGUAGGCGGACAGGUAAGUCAGUGGUGAAAUCUCUGGGCUUAACUCAGAAACUGCCGUUGAUACUAUUUGUCUUGAAUAUCCUGGAGGUAAGCGGAAUAUGUCAUGUAGCGGUGAAAUGCUUAGAUAUGACAUAGAACACCGAUAGCGAAGGCAGCUUACUACAGGAUGAUUGACGCUGAGGCACGAAAGCGUGAGGAGCAAA
Molecule: ribosomal RNA, 774 nt
Filed under: uncultured bacterium
Lineage: Bacteria
Description: bacterial SSU rRNA
Rfam family: Bacterial small subunit ribosomal RNA
Source: RNAcentral